UGGGGAAUAUUGGGCAAUGGGGGAAACCCUGACCCAGCAACGCCGCGUGAAGGAAGAAGGCUUCGGGUUGUAAACUUCUUUUACCAGGGACGAAGGACGUGACGGUACCUGGAGAAAAAGCAACGGCUAACUACGUGCC
This 139-nucleotide ribosomal RNA is filed under the name uncultured bacterium. Its description in RNAcentral is "partial 16S ribosomal RNA". It matches the Rfam family "Bacterial small subunit ribosomal RNA", at positions 355 to 509 of the family's 1533-position model. The record is from RNAcentral.